AAUAGAUACCCUGGUAGUCCACGCCGUAAACGAUGGAUACUAGCUGUUUGGAAGAAAUUCUGAGUGGCUAAGCGAAAGUGAUAAGUAUCCCACCUGGGGAGUACGGGCGCAAGCCUGAAACUCAAAGGAAUUGACGGGGGCCCGCACAAGCGGUGGAGCAUGUGGUUUAAUUCGAUGAUACGCGAGGAACCUUACCAGGGCUUAAAUGUAGAUUGACAGGCGUGGAAACAUGCUUUUCUUCGGACAAUUUACAAGGUGCUGCAUGGUUGUCGUCAGCUCGUGCCGUGAGGUGUCAGGUUAAGUCCUAUAACGAGCGCAACCCCUGUUGUUAGUUGCCAGCGAGUAGUGUCGGGAACUCUAACAAGACUGCCAGUGUAAACUGUGAGGAAGGUGGGGAUGACGUCAAAUCAUCACGGCCCUUACGUCCUGGGCCACACACGUGCUACAAUGGGCGGUACAGAGAGCAGCUACCUAGUGAUAGGAUGCGAAUCUAUAAAACCGUUCUCAGUUCGGAUCGGAGUCUGC
RNAcentral lists this ribosomal RNA (525 nucleotides) under uncultured bacterium. Its description in RNAcentral is "bacterial SSU rRNA". It matches the Rfam family "Bacterial small subunit ribosomal RNA", at positions 777 to 1308 of the family's 1533-position model. The record is from RNAcentral.